Molecule: long non-coding RNA, 331 nt
Filed under: Felis catus (domestic cat)
Lineage: Eukaryota; Metazoa; Chordata; Mammalia; Carnivora; Felidae
Description: lncRNA (ENSFCAG00000051978.1)
Source: RNAcentral
GUCUUUGAAUUUCUUCCUGUUCAUGUUCUGAGCCUCCUGACUUAUCCUCAUCCUGGGAAGGAAAAGGAAAGCCAGAUGUUCCUGUUGAAAAAAAGUUGGAGCUUGAAAUUCAUCCAAAGUGAGCUGUCGGGAGGAGGUUCUAUGGCACGCAUCUGCCAGGAAGGGUUGAAGUCUCCUCUGGUCCAGAUACACCGUGACCUUCGCCUCGACAUCACGGGUUUCAUUAAGACCACAGGUUUCAUUAAGGUGUCGAUUUGCAAUUGAGCUGUUUCUCUCAUGAGCAUAUUCCUGGUACAGGGCAGCUGGGGAUGAAUGCUGAAACAAGGCUCGG